CGCGUAGGCGGUUCGUUAAGUUGCUGGUGAAAUCCCGGGGCUCAACUCCGGGGCUGCCGGCAAGACUGGCGGGCUAGAGCACGGUAGAGGCGGAUGGAAUUCCCGGUGUAGCGGUGGAAUGCGUAGAUAUCGGGAAGAAUACCGGUAGCGAAGGCGUUCCGCUGGGCCGUUGCUGACGCUGAGGCGCGACAGCGUGGGGAGCAAACA
This 207-nucleotide ribosomal RNA is filed under the name uncultured bacterium. Its description in RNAcentral is "partial 16S ribosomal RNA". It matches the Rfam family "Bacterial small subunit ribosomal RNA", at positions 568 to 774 of the family's 1533-position model. The record is from RNAcentral.